This 429-nucleotide ribosomal RNA is filed under the name Chloroflexota bacterium. Its description in RNAcentral is "Chloroflexi bacterium partial 16S ribosomal RNA". It matches the Rfam family "Bacterial small subunit ribosomal RNA", at positions 355 to 776 of the family's 1533-position model. The record is from RNAcentral. Lineage: Bacteria; Bacillati; Chloroflexota.
UGGGGAAUAUUGCACAAUGGGCGCAAGCCUGAUGCAGCCAUGCCGCGUGUGUGAAGAAGGCCUUCGGGUUGUAAAGCACUUUCAGCUGGGAGGAAGGCGAUAAGGUUAAUAACCUCAUCGAUUGACGUUACCCGCAGAAGAAGCACCGGCUAACUCCGUGCCAGCAGCCGCGGUAAUACGGAGGGUGCAAGCGUUAAUCGGAAUUACUGGGCGUAAAGCGCACGCAGGCGGUCUGUCAAGUCGGAUGUGAAAUCCCCGGGCUCAACCUGGGAACUGCAUUCGAAACUGGCAGGCUAGAGUCUUGUAGAGGGGGGUAGAAUUCCAGGUGUAGCGGUGAAAUGCGUAGGGAACUGGAGGAAUACCGGUGGCGAAGGCGGCCCCCUGGACAAAGACUGACGCUCAGGUGCGAAAGCGUGGGGAGCAAACAGG